Molecule: ribosomal RNA, 400 nt
Filed under: uncultured bacterium
Lineage: Bacteria
Description: bacterial SSU rRNA
Rfam family: Bacterial small subunit ribosomal RNA
Source: RNAcentral
UGGGGAAUAUUGGACAAUGGGCGAAAGCCUGAUCCAGCAAUGCCGCGUGAGUGAUGAAGGCCUUCGGGUUGUAAAGCUCUUUUGGUAGGGACGAUAAUGACGGUACCUACAGAAUAAGCCCCGGCUAACUUCGUGCCAGCAGCCGCGGUAAUACGAAGGGGGCAAGCGUUGUUCGGAGUUACUGGGCGUAAAGGGCGCGUAGGCGGUCUUUUAAGUCAGAUGUGAAAUCCCUGGGCUCAACCUGGGCAUUGCAUUUGAGACUGGAAGGCUUGAGGACGGGAGAGGUGAGUGGAAUUUCCAGUGUAGAGGUGAAAUUCGUAGAUAUUGGAAAGAACACCAGUGGCGAAGGCGACUCACUGGCCCGUAACUGACGCUGAGGCGCGAAAGCGUGGGGAGCAAA